This 394-nucleotide ribosomal RNA is filed under the name uncultured bacterium. RNAcentral describes it as "partial 16S ribosomal RNA". It matches the Rfam family "Bacterial small subunit ribosomal RNA", at positions 523 to 918 of the family's 1533-position model. The record is from RNAcentral.
AUACGUAGGGGGCUAGCGUUAUCCGGAAUUACUGGGCGUAAAGGGUGCGUAGGUGGUUUCUUAAGUCAGACGUGAAAGGCUACGGCUCAACCGUAGUAAGCUUUUGAAACUAAGAGACUUGAGGGCAGGAGAGGAGAGUAGAAUUCAUAGUGUAGCGGUGAAAUGCGUAGAUAUUAGGAGGAAAACCAGUUGCGAAGGCGGCGCUCUGGACUGUAACUGACACUGAGGCACGAAAGCGUGGGGAGCAAACAGGAUUAGAUACCCUGGUAGUCCACGCCGUAAACGAUGAGUACUAGCUGUCGGGGGUUACCCCCCUCGGUGGCGCAGCUAACGCAUUAAGUACUCCGCCUGGGAAGUACGCUCGCAAGAGUGAAACUCAAAUGAAUUGGCGGGG